This 17666-nucleotide long non-coding RNA is filed under the name Solanum tuberosum (potato). Its description in RNAcentral is "long non-coding RNA (STUB_LNC001916)". Lineage: Eukaryota; Viridiplantae; Streptophyta; Magnoliopsida; Solanales; Solanaceae. The record is from RNAcentral.
AGGAUAAUAAUUUAUUAGUAUCAAGUGAUUAUUAUUUAAAAUCAAAACACAGUAUAUGAUUGCACAAGCACUUAUGAUACUCAAGAAUAAUUCAUAUUAGUUAUUUUUAAAUUAAAAAAUUAUUAUAUUUUAAAAUAUUCGCACAAUGCACGGGUACAUUUACUAGUUUAAGCUAAAAAAGACCGGCAAUUGACACUUUGAACCUCCAUAUGUUAUUUUUUGUUUGGUUAUGCAUUAACUGGUAAAGUUUGAAUAACCCAUAACUAACACUCUGUUUGGAUCAUUGUUACCCAUUAUAUUGUAGUGUAUUGUUAUCAUACAUACAAUAUUUGUUUUGAUCGUUACUUAAAAUGUAUUGUAUUAUUAAAUUUCAUUGUUUGUAACAAUGAAAAUCCCCAUUUUACGGAACAACCGAUUUGGUGUGUUCCUAUUUUUGUUAUACUAUAAGUGAAGGUGAUAUAAACAUCAUCACUUAAAUGCUCAUCUCCUACAAUUUGGGAGACUAUAUAGUAGAUUUACAACAUCACUUAGUGCAUCUAUUUUACAAUAUUAGCAGAUACCCAAACAUGCUAAUUAUGUUCACUAGCUACCUACAAGAUAGAUAAAAGCAAGCUAGUGGGUAAUUAAAAAACCACAGCAGCAGUUGAUGAGUUUCUCUUAGCUAGAUGAGAAAUAUUCAACACUUUGAUACAUCUGGACAGCUUCAUAACUAUUAAUAUUAUAAACUCUUUCUUCAGUUGGAUGCAACUUAACAACAUGAGAUUUUUGGGGAUAGUAUUUAUAAGGAGCUGUAUUAUUUUGCCUUUCUGGAGGUGAAAGUCUUUCCUUUCUUUUACCCCAAAAUUCAUCAAUAAGAUCAAACCCCUCUUGCCCUAUCUUGGCUAGCAACUGCUCUUUUCUAUGUGCCAUUUCUUUGUGUGUGUGUGUGUAAGUGGAGAAAGUUGGUGUGAUAUCUAGCUUAGUAGAGAGAAAGAGAAGAAGAUUGUGUGUUUGUUUAGAUAGUUUCAUGGCUAUAGACCCUUUAUAUAGGAACAAGAGUUCCACAAUCAUGAUAAGGUAGAAAAGGUAUUGUAUCUAAGGGUGUCUUUGGUAUUCAAAAUACUUUAAAUAUUGAACUCACAGGAAAUUACAGUAAAAAAUGUAUACUGGUCCACAAUUCCGGUUUCAUAAUAUUUGUCCAGGUUAUAUAUUAAAAAAAAAUUAUCUUAUUAUGCUUGCAUAUUAGGCUAAAUUAUGUACAUCACAUCAUUUAGAGUGCAAUUCUUUCCCAAUCCUGCUACCAUAAGAUGCUUUAUCAGCUGAGGAGUAUCUAUAUAUCGAAUGCAAGAAAAAAUGUUUAAAAAAUAUUUACACUUCAGAAAAAUAUUUCUAUAAAAAUACUUUUCAUAACAAACGUUGCUCUUCACCCAACUUGUGGUGAUUCCUUUACGAUAUUAUAUGUGUUUCUUUUUUAGAAUAAAAUUAAAAGGAAAAAAGGCAGUGUGAAGGUAGCUGAUUCUUUUAUGUGGUGGUAAUUAAGUAAAUACAUUUGGAAACGUAUAAAGUGGUCAUUAGAUUUAUAUUCUUUUUUGAUAUUUAUGACUCUUCAUCUUCAAGGAAAAGCUCCCAAAUAUUUUUGACUCUUGACCUAUCAUUCAACAAUUAAUUAUUCUCUGUCUCAAGCUCAAGAUUAAAAAAUUAUGAUCAUCAAGCAAGCCAAACUUGUGAUGGAUGUAAAAAACUAUUAAAUAAAGAGAAAACAACUUAUAUACAAUUUUACUAUUAGAUGAACAUUGAUAAAAAAUAAUGUGUUUUUCAAUACAACCAAAAAAAUAUUUAGUGGCAAUUAUAUUAUAGAUUUUUUUCUUUUGACGAUAAUAUUUAUUGUUGAAAAAAUAGAUUGUAGCAUUUGAGAAAAUAACGUUGCAUCCAGAUUAGCUAUAACUUUUAGCGGCAUUGAAAGUGUUUGUUAUAAAAUUUCAUACAUAUUAUUAUCACUAAAUAUAAUAUAACAAUAAUUAUAUUAUUAUUAUUGUUAAAUAAUUGACGAAAAAUCCUCUAUUUGUUAUAGCAUUUGAUGUGUAUGUGUUCUUUUAGUUCCUACCUUGCAUUGUGAAUACCGGUUGUGAAUUUUAAAGUGUAUUAUUUAAAUGUCUUAUUACACAUAGAUAUGUUAUUUCACUGUACUUUAUGUAGAGUAUUAAAGUAAAUGAGCAAACAUCAAAAUACUUACUUUCGUUGUCCCAAUUACAUGGUAUCUUUCAGAUUUCGAAAUUCAACCAAAUCUAUCUUCGAUUGUAAUUUUUUUAUAUAUCUUAUAAAUAUUUUUUCAAGGUUAAAUUAGAAUUUUUGAUUCUCAGAAAGUGAAAAAUAUUAUAUAAAUUGAGAUUGGGAGUAUAAAUUUUUGUCAAGUCUUUUAAAAUCAUAUGAAAAGUAUAUAAUUUAGGAUAAGUAGGUAAGUCUUUCCUAUUAAAUGGACUUCUUCUUCUUCUUCUUUAUCUAAGAGGUGGGAAUUUCUUGCUCUUUUUAAAUUUCAUCUGGUCUCUCCUUUUAAAUCUUUUCUAUCUAAGAUGAGCAAAUUAAAGUAUCUAUGCUACCUAUAGAUAUAUCAUUGUACUAAUUAACUAUUAAUUACUUACUUACUAGUAUAAUUUAAAAAUACCAAAAGUUGUAUACAUAAAGUGCUAAAGACUAAAGUUCACUAGCCAAAUCUUGGUAAGGGUCCUACCUACACCAUAGGUUUAUGAUUGUUAAAGGGAAUAUGUAUCUUUUUAUUAACUAUAUAUGUCGUCUAUAUCUGAUCCACAAUUCAAUUAUUGUUUUCUCUUGGUUGCGUGGGGAUAGUGGCAAUGGUAAUAUUCUUAUAUAUCAAUUAUACGAAUAGGAAAGAUAAGGUUUCCACCGCCUUGCUAAAUGAAAAAAGGUUUAUGGAUAUACCACUUCUACACUUUUUAGAGAGAAUAUAUAAUUGAGGUUCGAAAGAACAAGAUUUACUAUAAAAAAAAAUGGAAUUUAGCCACACAAAGGGUCAUGGCUAUAUGGUACACACUGUGGCUAAACACACUUCGCCACAGUUCCAUUCAUCAUUCAGUUGAAACUACAGCGUGCUGCUUUUCAUAUCUACAAAUGCUAUGCUUGUUACCAAAAUUUGUCUUCCCUAAAUUAUGCGAAUGUCACGACCCAAAAAUGGAUGUGAUGGCACUCGUCUUAUCCCACCAAGACAAGUCAACCUAAAACCCAACCAUUUUGAUAAAGUGCGGAAACAAAAUAAAAAUAAAAGUUCAAUAACAAUUACUAAUCCGAAUAACAAGUCAACUUAAUUCAAUCCCCAAAACAUGGUUGUCACGUGCACAAGCUUCUAAUGUAAAUACUAGAAUUGAAAUAAUAUACCCAAGUCUCAAAUGACGUUGUCUUUGAAGUAAAAACAAAAUCAUAAACAGGAGUAAGAAGGUCCGCUGAGAUGACAAACAACUACCUGACAAAUCUCCACAGAAAGCCUCAGAAACGAAGAGAAUAGAAGGUAUCACGAAGAUCCGGGCUCGUAACCUACAAAAAUUUGUAGAAGCAAGGGGUUAGUAUCAAACCACACGGUACUCAACAAGUAAACUUCUAAACACAAGCUAAGGGAACAGAGUACGGGUACUCCUUACACCCCAUCCAAACCUCCACACUACAACCUGCAUAAAACCAGUCCAACCUAACAGUUCAUAGUUUACAUAACACAGCUCAACAACAACACUCAAACAAAUUACAUAUCCUCAACAACAAACUCAAUACUCAUCAAUCACAAUUUCCACACAAAGGCACUCACAAGAUCAACAACACACAAGAUCAAGUUCAUCAUUGAUAAAAAUGUACAAUGCAAUGUCAAGUAUAGUGAUGCAUGUUUGACCUAACGAUACACACCCGCUGUCCCUCAGUCCGGGACCCAUGGGGAACAUAUCUGUCCAUGCAUCCGUCACGGCGCGCGACAUGUCCCUCAAUAAUAGUAUCCAUUGCGGCGUGCGAUACGUCCCUCGAAAUAUAGUAUAUGUCACGGCGUGCGAUACGUCCCUCGAAAUGGUACAUCCUCUUUAAUUUCUUACUCUUUCUCAAUUCACAUAACACUUGUCACAAUUAUGUCUCAGAACAAUGCAAAUGACACGUUCACACAAAUAAUGAGGAGAUGACUAUUUUCAUAAUAAUGCACAAUUCAUAACAACACAAUGAUUCAACUGUUAGAAAAUAGCAUACACAACGAAAGCAUUCCAGAAUCAUACAUCUUGCAUGAGUAUAGACAACAAUCACAAAUACGUAUCACAUACAAGGUAUGCUGAAAAAAGUGAUCCCAAAUAACAAUUGAACUCUCUCAAUACUUGAGUGGGCAAGUAUCGUAUAGAAUCUUGCAUUCUCUCACUUUUUUCUAGAUCAGACGAAUCCCUACUUAUAGAGAUUUCUUCCUAGUCUAAAGAGGAUUCCUUUUCUUUCAAGAAAACCAAGAAACACACGUUUCUUUUUUUUUCAAGAAGAAACACGCUUCUUUUUUCUUUUUACCAGAAAAUAAGAUUCUGAGUUCUAGUUAAAUUGGGCACUGGAGGGACCACAUAAUUUAUUGCUGAGGCUUCCUAUUAUGGAAAUAAUUCCAAACCAUUAAUUUGAAUUAUUCUUACCAUAAUAAAUUACAAAUCAUUCCACUAGAAAUUCGUAAUUGCACUCCUCUAUUUAUAUUUCGAAAUUCACCAUUAAACACUUAUGUAAUUCCCCAUGUUAAGAUUCCAGAUACCAAUCAAUAAAUUAAAUUACUGACGAAUUUAAUUUAAUGAUUAAUUUCCUUUAGAGCAAUACUUAACUUAUUUCAUGUGCCAGAUUCAUAAAUCUACCGGCCGGGUUUACACAUGAAAACUUAUAAGUUUCUCAUAAAAAGGUGUAUCAUCAAUCUCUAUACUGAGACAUGGAUUCCAUCAACUAACUAAUUAUUUCACCAAUAUGUAUUAUUAUCAUCCAAUCUACCAGGCAUAUUGACCCAUCUCAGAAUCUCACCUUUUAAUAAAUCAAAACGAUAAUUAAUAUAUACAGAUCAUAAUCGUUAUAUCAAGAUUAAGAAUAUAAGUACAAUUAACAGUUUAGAGAAUAUGUUUUUAUCAGUCAGUCUAAAACAUCUAUCUCUACUCGAUCAAGUUCAAUACAUACAAAAUGCACUAGCACUAGAAGUUAGAACUAUACCAUUCUCAUAAUCAAGAUAAAAUGCAUUUAAUCUCGUGCUACAAUCUUUCUGAUGGUUUUAUCCAAAUUUCCAUCUACGAUUGUGAACUAUAACUUUUAACUUAUAAGAACCGAUGAUUUAAUCUUCUGUGUAUAAGCUUAAACUCUAUACACCAAAUCAUCUACUAUAUAAGUUAAGGACACAUAUAUGACAAUUGAUCUAUUUAAUGUAACAAUUUAUUGAAUUGAAUAAAUGAAUAAACAAUUGUUCAAUAAUAAUACUAUAUCAAAACGCAUGGUUAAUAGUAUAUCCUAACAUCAACAAGCCUUUCAAACCAUUCACAAUACAUCAUAUUCAUUUUUGGGUUGUGACAGCGAACAUCAAAAUCCAUCUCACAAUCAAGAAUUUAAAAUCAAUUGGAAAGAUGAAAAAUUUCCCUCUUAUCAAUGAAUACCCACGGGUCUUUUUGACUAAGCAGUCAGACAUCAACAGUCGUAAAAUCUUUGGUUUGUGGGCUUCAAAAUCCAACUGUUUAUAAAUAGAAGUAACAUCAUACUGAUGCCAGCACCAAAGUGACAUAGCGCCUUAGUCCUUAGAAAAUUAAAGUUGAAUGCUCCAAUGAUGCAUGGAAUAGUGAAUACACCGGAGUUUUCUUUCUUCUAAACUAAUGACUUCAUAGCAAUAGCACUACAGUGAUGCAAAUUAUCUAUUAGAUCAAAAUUGAAAGUUUCAUCUUCUUCAUAAAGAACUUGGCAUAACUCGACAUCUUCUCGAGGUUCUUAAUUAGUGGAAUAUUCACUAAUAGUUUUUUCAACAUAGAGAUGAACUAAAAAAACUUCCCGUCCUCCACUUUCUUCUUCAAUAUUUGUGGGAGAAUAUAUGCGGGUGGAGGUCUAAAAAUUGGAGUUGAAGUCCUCAUAGCCACUAUUUCUUGUCCAUUUGUUCCCAUAGCUCCUCCGCCUCACCUGGUGAAACAUCAAUUUUUUCGCCUUUUUAGAAUCAACUGAAAUCUCAUAAUCAUCCUCAUUUUCUGCCAUAAGUACUCUUAAUUCAAAUUUAACAUCUUCUCCCUACUCAUUACUCACAAACUCGUUCUGAUAGUACUUUACCACUUCUAGUAAUACACUAGCCAUCCUUUCUUAAGUUUUGAGUAGUAUCACUAAGCAAAGUACCAUUCGUAAUCUUGUAAUGUCUAUGUGUUCCUAUUCAUUAUAUCAAUAAAAUUCUCAUCUUCGAUCUAAUUUCGUCUUAUAAAUAUAAUUACGUAUUACAAUCACAUUCUAGGGUAUUACAGAUCUUCCGGUGACGCCAAGGGACCUCUAAGGAUGGAUUAGUUUUAAUUCACAUUCGUUAGUGUUGGGUUUAGCAAGAAAGUGUGAAUGGGAAAUAAAAAGAGAAAAUGGAAAGUGGAAGAACCAAUGAAAGUGGGGGAAUCAAUUUUGGAGGGAAAAUGAAAAGUCAUUGCAAAGUGCAAAUGAAAAGUCAUUUUUACUAUAUUGGUAGAAGAAAGGAAAUUGUUGUCCUUAUAUUAGGAAACACUUCCUUUAGUUCUUAAAAGGUUAAGAAGAAGGUGCCCCCUCGCGCCGUCGUCGUCGCUCGCUCAGCCUCAGCCUCGGCUUCGGCUUCGGAUUUGGAUUUGGAUGUGAUUGAUAAAAAAAAAUUUGGACAAAAUUUAUUUAAUCAAUCUUUUUAAUUCAUUUCUUUUCUCUUAUAAAUUAAUUCAGAAUGUUAGUUAAAUAACGGAAUUAAUUUCACAACGAUUUAUUUGAAAUUCACGCGUAACGGUAAAUUCGUUUGAAAGGAUUUGUUCCUUUCGAAAAGUCGUUAUUUUUCCCAAAAGACACAACAUUCUGAAAAAAAUGGAUCUGAACAAACGCGUUCCUUGCUGCUAAUGGCUAUAAAUAAGAGGUCGUUUUCAUUUUUCAAACACUGAAAAUUUUCCCUCACUGCAUACAUUUUCUUACAUAAACAAAAUUAGUUGAUCGACUGAGUUUGUGUGUGCUCUUGUUGUUGUUCUUGCGCUCGCUGAAGUUAUUGAAAUUUGAGGUAUCGCAACUUUUUUAACAGGUUAAUCCAUUUUAUCUUAGGAGGAAUUAAUCUACAACUUCGGGUAUAGUGAGGGGAUUAAAUUUCUUAAGGAAACACAGUGGUUUCUGUGGACUCGAAUUAAAAAUCAUUCUGUAUUUGUGACUAACCUGAAUACAGGAGAUAACAAUCUUAAGAAAUUUAAUAGUUUCUGUAUUUGAGGUUUCUGGAGAUUAAAAACCUUUAUGAUUUUCUACUGUUUGAAUUUUUAAAAUUCAUUCGAUUAACGAUUAAAAGAACAUAAAAACUUUUUCGUUAAAUCAUAAACAGUCUGUGUAAGGAUUUAUUUCACAUACUAAAAUUGUCUGUCAUUUGUGACAGAAAAAUGACUAAUUCAAGUCAAGUAAAUGUUGGAACAGUAAAUGCUGCAACAACAUCAGUUGCACACAAUCGUUCAACUGUUGCCCUAGCACCGGCUGAGAAACCUACAAAGUUUUCUGGAGUCGACUUCAAGAGAUGGCAAUAAAAGAUGUUCUUCUAUCUGAAUACGUUGAGUCUGCAGAGGUUCAUUAAUGAAAACGUUCCUGUUAUGUUAGAUGAAACUCCGCCUGAAGAACGAUUCUUGGUAACAGAAGCAUCGACACAUUCUGAUUUUUUGGGUAAAAUUGUAUUUUGAGUGGCUUGCAGGAUGAUCUGUACAAUGUGUACAGUAAUGUCAAAAUCUCAAAAGAACUCUGGGAUGCUUUAGAAAAGAAGUACAAAAUAGAGGAUGCCGGAAUGAAGAAGUUCAUUGUGGCAAAGUUUUUGGACAAUAAAAUCGUCGUCACCCAAGUUCAAGAAUUGCAGGUCAUAAUCCAUGAUCUCCUUGCUGAAGGUAUAAAUUUAUUUAAUACUUAUGUUGAAAAUAUUAAGUCUAUUCUUAAUACUCACAUAAUCUUUAAUGUAGGAUUGGUUGUGAAUGAUGUUUUUCAAGUGGCUGCCAUUAUUGAGAAGUUACCUCCAUUAUGGAAGGACUUCAAAAACUACUUGAAACAUAAACGCAAGGAGAUGACUGUUGAAGAUCUCAUGGUAAGGCUAAGAAUCGAAGAGGAUAACAAGGCCACAAAAAAAGAGGUCACGUGGUAAUUCAGCAAUAUCUGGAGUAAACAUUGUUGUAGAAGAUCCCACAAAAUCAAAGAAAAGAAAGAAAGCAUCUGGUCCAAAAAGCAAUCCUCCUAAAGAAGAAAGUUCAAUGGAAGCUGCUUCAAUUGUGGCAAAACGUGGUCAUAAGACUACUGAAUGUCGGGGUCCCAAGAAGGACAAGAAGAAGAAUCAAGCAAAUUUGGCUGAAUCCAAAGGAGAGAUGGACGAUCUUUGUGCAGUGCUUUCAGAAUGCAACUUGGUUGGAAAUCUAAGAGAGUGGUGGAUAGAUUCUGGUGCCUUAUGCCAUGUUUGUGCCAAUAAAGAAUUAUUUUCAUCAUAUACUCCAGCACCUACAGACGAGAAGUUGUUCAUGGCAAACUCUGUUGUUGCAAAGGUGGAAGGAACUGACAAAGUCCUCUUAAAGAUGACAUCGGGCAAGGUGGUGACUUUGAACAGGGUCUUGUAUGUUCCGGAAUUGCGAAAGAACUUAGUUUCUAUACCAAUUCUGACUAAGAAUGAAUUCAAAUAUGUAUUUAUUUCUGAUAAAGUUGUAGUGAGUAAGAAUGAAAUGUAUGUAGGAAAAGGUUACCUCACUGAGGGCCUCUUUAAACUCAAUGUAAUUGCAGUUGAUAUGAAUAAAGAUUCUGCUUCUUCUUACUGCUUGAGUCUAAAUGUUUAUGGCAUAAACGUUUAGGACACAUUAAUAACAAAACCUUGCGAAAACUGAUUAACUUAAAUGUUUUACCUAAAUUUGAGUUCAAUAAAUCAAAAAGUCAAGUGUGCGUUGAAUCUAAGUAAGCUAAGCAUCAUUAUAAGUCUGUUGAAAGGAAUUCAUAUCCCUUAGAACUGAUUCACACGGACAUUUGUGACAUGAAGUCAACACCAAUACGUGGUGGGAAAAAGUAUUUCAUAACUUUUAUUGACGAUUGCACUAGAUAUUAUUAUGUCUAUUUUUCUAAAUGGUAAGGAUGAAGCAAUAGAUGCAUUUAGGCAAUAUAAAACUGAAGUUGAAAAUCAGUUGGAUAGAAAGAUCAAAAUGAUCAGAAGUGAUAGAGGUGGAGAAUAUGAAUCUCCAUUUGCAGAAAUAUGUUUGGAAAAUGGAAUCAUCCAUCAAACUACUGCACCUUACUCUCCUCAAUCUAAUGGAAUUGCGGAAAGAAAAAACCAAACUUUAAAGGAAAUGAUGAAUGCCUUACUUAUAAGUUCAGGUUUACCACAAAACUUGUGGGGAAAGUUAUCCUUACAGCAAAUCGAAUACUCAAUAGAGUGCCUCACACAAAGACACAUGUUAUUCCAUAUGAGAAAUGGAAAGGUAGAAAACCCAACUUGAAAUAUUCAAAGUGUGGGGGUGUCUAGCCAAAGUCCAGGUCCCUAUACCUAAGAGGGUGAAAAUAGGGCCUAAGACUGUGGAUUGUGUAUUCAUUGGAUAUGCCACAAAUAGUAAGGCAUGUCAUUUUUUUGGUUCAUAAGUCUAAAUAUCCGGAUAUUCAUGAUAAUACGGUAAUGGAAUCAGAUAAUGCUGAAUUUUUUGAACAUAUCUAUCCGUAUAAAACUAGACUUGAGUCAUCUAGUGGGGGGUCUAAACAACCUCGAGAAGAACCAAAAGAGAAUGAAACAAAUGAAGAGAGUCCAAGGCGCAGUAAACGUCAAAGGACAGCUACUUCAUUUGGAUCUGAUUUUUGUAGCAUUCCUUCUUGAAAGUGAGCCUCAAACAUUCAAGGAAGCAAUGUUGUCUAGCGACUCAACCUCUUGGAAGGAGGUUGUCAAUAGUGAGAUUGAAUCAAUCUUAAGCAAUCAUACUUAGGAGUUGGUUGAUCUUCCUCCAGGGAACAAACCUUUGGGUUCAAAAUGGAUCUUCAAAAAGAAGAUGAAAGAUGAUGGAACUAUUGACAAAUAUAAAGCAAGAUUGGUUGUCAAAAGCUUUAGACAUAAAGAAGGUCUUGAUUAUUUUGACACAUACUCGCCAGUGACUAGGAUUACAUCAAUUCGGAUGUUAAUUGCCCUAGCUGCAAUAUACGGUCUUGAAAUCCAUCAAAUGGAUGUGAAAACCGCCUUCUUAAAUGGAGAGCUGGAGGAAAAGAUUUACAUGGAACAGCCUGAGGGCUUCGUAGUUCCCGGUAAAGAAAAGAAAUAUGCAAACUUGUAAGUCACUUUAUGGACUAAAACAAGCACCAAAACAACGACAUGCAAAGUUUGAUCAAACCAUGUUGUCAAAUGGAUUUAAGAUCAAUGAGUGUGAUAAAUAUGUUUACAUUAAAGACACUCCAGAUCAGGAAGCCAUUGUAUGCCUAUAUGUGGAUGACAUGCUGAUAAUGAGCAAGGACAUUGCCAAUGUAAAAGCUACUAAGCGUAUGCUUGCUAGUAAGUUUGAUAUGAAAGAUCUAGGAGUAGCCGAUUUGAUAUUGGGAAUAAAGAUUCACAAAAUUCCUAACGGUGUAGCAUUGUCUCAAUCUCAUUAUAUUCAAAAGGUACUUGAAAAGUUCAAGUAUUUGAAUUUCAAAAAAGCAAAAACCCCAAUUGAUGUGAACCUUAAUAAUGCUAAGAAUAAAAGUGAAAGUCAGUCUCAAUUGGAUUAUGCCAGAGUAUUGGGAAGUUUGAUGUAUGUUGUGAAUUGUACAUGACCAGACAUAGCCUACGCUAUAAGUAAACUGAGUCGAUACACAAGUAAUCCCAAUCAAAAUCAUUGGUUGGCAAUGAAGAGAGUUUUGGGGUACUUAGAAGACACUCAAAACUAUGUUUUGCAUUACAACAAAUAUCCAGCAGCUCUUGAAGGAUAUAAUGAUGCAAAUUGGAUUACUGGGUCAACUGAAACGAAAUCCACGAGUGGAUAUGUUUUCACUAUUAGUGGAGGAGCAAUAUAUUGGAAAUCAUCCAAACAAACAUGUAUAGCUCGCUCUACAAUGGAGUCUGAAUUCAUCACCUUAGACAAGGCAGGUGAAAAAGCUGAAUGGCUCCGGAAUUUGUUAGAAGAUAUUCCAUUUUGGCCCAAACCAAUGGCCCAUAUAUGCAUACACUGCGAUAGUCAAGCUGCAAUAGGAAGAGCUGGAAGCGUUAUGUAUAACGGGAAGUCUCGUCACAUAAGAUGAAGACAUAACUCUGUUAGACAACUACUCUCUAGUGGAAUUAUCACAAUUGACUAUGUAAAGUCAAAGGAUAAUGUGUCGGAUCCACUUACAAAAGGCCUAACUAGAGAGGGAGUUGAGAGAUCAUCGACGGGAAUGGGACUAUGGCCGAGAACAAGUCAUCGUGGCGGUUACUCUACCUAGAAUACUGGAGAUCCCAAAAUCUAGGUUCAAAGAGAUAAAACAAAGUCAUAGAUGACGGUUCAACAUUGUCAAAAAUUAUUUUAUGUCCAUUCUCAUGAUGAGACAAUGUUCAGUAACCUUAAUAAAGGCAUAAGGACUUUUUAAUGGUUUCUAAGUUUGAUACAGGGUAUAUCAAAUAGUGUAUCUACGAGAUAACACAUUUAGAAAACCACCUAUGUAAGUGUGAAGUGUAAGUCGCUUCAAGGAGAAUCCGGUAAGGCCAAUUCUCUAAGCACUUAUUAACCGAGAUGUGUUCAUGGUUGAAAACGAACAAAAACAAUGAGAACCAAAAACAGUUCAAGGGUUGAUUGUGUGACUUAUGUUGUCUAGGUAUACACCAAAGCUCGACGGUUCAAAUAUAUCAAAUCUACCGAUUGACUGAGUAUAUCCGAUAUAUGUUCACUACGGAAAGUUUAAAGAGAAACCUACUUAUCCAGAUGUGAUUAACCCUUACUUACAAGACACACAAGUUUUUCAUGCAUAUGUUUUAACUAUAGCCAUUCCCCAUUCAUGUGGGGGAUUUUUGGGUUUAGCAAGAAGGUGUGAAUGGGAAAUAAAAAGAGAAAAUGGAAAGUGGAAGAACCAAUGAAAGUGGGGGAACCAAUUUUGGAGGGGAAAAGAAAAGUCAUUGCAAAGUGCAAUGAAAAGUCAUUUUUACCAUAUUGGUAGAAGAAAGGAAAUUGUUGUCCUUAUAUUAGGAAACACUUCCUUUAGUUCUUAAAGGGUUAUGAAGAAGGUGCCCCCUCGCGCCGUCGUCGUCGCUCGCUCGGCCUCGGCUUCGGCUUCGGCUUUGCAAAAUUUAUUUAAUCAAUCUUUUUAAUUCAUUUUUUUCUCUUAUAAAUUAAUUCAGAAUGUUAGUUAAAUAACUAAAUUAAUUUCACAAUGAAUUAUUUGAAAUUUGCGCGUAACGGUAAAUUCGUUUGAAAGGAUUUGUUCCUUCCGAAAAGUCGUUACUUUUCCCAAAAGACACAACGUUCUGGAAAAAAUAGGUCUGAACAGACGCGUUCCUUGCUGCUAAUGGCUAUAAAUAAGAGGUCGUUUUCAUUUUUCAAACACUGAAAAUUUUUCCUCACUGCAUAAAUUUUCUUACAUAAACAAAAUUGUCGAUCGACUGAGUCUGUGUGUGCUCUUGUUGCUGUUCUUGCGUUCGCUGAAGUUAUUGAAUUUUGAGGUACCGCUACUUCUUUAAUAGGUUAAUCCGUUUUAUCUUGGAAGGAAUUAAUCUACAACCUCAGGUACAGUGAGGGGAUUAAAUUUCUUAAGGAAAUACGGUGGUUUCUGUGGACUCGGAUUAAAAAUCAUUCUGUCUAUUUCAUCUUUUUCUGUUUCUGUAUUUGUGACUAACCUGAAUACAGGAGAUAACAGUUAGAAGUUAUGCUAAAAAGACUAGCAAUUGACACUUUGAACCUCCAUAUGCCCUCUUUUUUUGUUUGGUUACGCAUUAUAAUUAACUGGGAAAGUUUGAAUGCUUCCCUUUAGUGCUUAUUUAUAAUAUAUAUUUGGAUCAAGAAAUUACAUAAGAUGGAAGUUAUUUUCGUUUACUUAAGUUGUAAAAGGAGGUAAGGUCCCACGCUCACCUCCAUUGACUUGUAUCUUUAAUUUGUUUAGUUUCUAUUGACGCAUUAUAAGGGGUCUUGCCAAAAAAAAAAAAAAAACUAUAAGAAAGUUAGGAAAUUCUCGGUUGAAAAAACAUUUUCUUAAUAAAAACAUCUAAUCCUCUCGUUUUUAUGUUAUCCUAAAUAAAUUAGUAUUCUCAGGCUUGUAUAAAUUCAAGUUUGUACGAUUUUGUUCGAAGAAUUGUAUGUCACACCCCGAUCCUACACCCUAGACGUGGCCGGCACUUGGGAACAAUCGAUGGUCCCCAAGCGAACUCUUGGCCUAGCUGACUACCUAGGCGUGAAAGACCUACUCAAGCAAAACAAACUUAGAAAUAGAAUUAUAAACGUUUAAGCUCAACAAUUUCUCAAUUCAACUGUCUAAAAAUACUUAAGUUCAGAAAUAGUAAUACUCUGUAAAACAGUCUCAAACAUCUCAACAAAAGGGAAAGUGAUGUGAGACUCCUCAACUAUAACUAUCUAUGAAGCGUCUAAAUACUAAGAUAGGUAUCGGGACAGGAUCCAUAACAACUUUAACAAAAGAAAGAAAUAAGUGUGAAGCCCUCCGGAAAGCAAAGAGGCUCACCAAAUCUAGUUGGAGUACAAGUGGUAUCAACGAAGAGCUUGUUGAUGACUCUGAACACCUGUAUUUGCAUCAUAAAUAAGAUGCAGGUCGAAUGAUAUCAGUACAUUGAAUGUACGAGCAUGUAAGGGGAAACUGAAAACAUAGAUAACUGAACUAAUAAGACUGAAAGACAUACUCACCUCAACUCAACUCGAAUAUAAAAGCAAUAACAAGAGAUGCAAUGUUUAAAGCGUUAUAAACAAAAUAUAUAAACUCAAUGAUGUAUAAAAUACAAUAAGUUAUUCUUUACUCUUAUUUGGGAGAUUCUCUAACCGACAAUCAUCACUAUGAGCUAUGUGAUGAUACAAAGUCUCGUUCAUGCUGUCAGAACUAUCUGAUACCUUGCUGGGGUAUAGAACACCUCAACUAAGUGGAUCCACAAUGCUAUGCUUAAAAGUAAUAAAGAGUCAUCUAAAAAGUAUAAUCAUUUACCCAUGUUGGCUACAUGGUUUAUGAGGAGUUUGAUUGUCUGAACUUAUCCCCAUAUCGGUGCUCAAUACUACUCUUAAUAAAUAUAUACUCAUGCUCAAUGUUAAAACAUUCUCUUUCUCAAUUUAAGGUAAUUACUCAAAAGAUCCUCUUAAAAGAGGUAAUGCUCUGAAAUAUCUCUAAACUCAUAAACUUAUUUGGAAAUCAUAGCUUCUCUUUUUUAAAUGUAAACGUGUUACUUUUGGGAAUACUUAAUUCCCUUAUAUCAUUUCUCAAACAUGAAUACAACUCUUCUCAUUUCUCAUAAUUACUUCCUCAAAACUUAGUUCAAAACCAUUUUUUAUUACAAAAGAUUCUCAAAGCAACUUAAAAAGACUUCUGGAACUUUCCUCUUAAACUCACUUUAAUUUUUAAUGUAAAUUAAGACAUGUGAUUUUAACAUGUAGUAAUUCUCAAAGGUUAAUGCAGUUUAUAGAAGCUAAUACAAAGGAGAAAAUGUAGUCACGACUCAAAGGAAUACGUCUGAAACGAAGCACGAAAGGAAAAAGGCCAGGCAACCUUAGCGCAGUGUUGGUGUGGGGAACCAGGCCCCAAACUACUGAAUAAAGUUUGGGGCGCACUGCUGACGUGGGGCGCUAGGCACCAAACUACAGAGAAAAAGUUCUGGUGCUAUGAGUGGCGCGCCUCCCCACACCCCUGCCCAGAUUUCUAACAAAUUUUUUAAGCCAAAACAAGGUCCCAACUAGUUUAGAAUGGGGAGAAUUCUUCUAAACUCUUCUUGAUACUCAAACCCAACACUAAUACAAAAGGAAUUCCAUACAAUCCUUUUGGAAAAUCAAACUUCUACCAAAGAUCAACAACACAAAAGAAUUCACAACCUCCAUUGUUCAAGAAUUAAAGAAAAAUCAAGAAUUACUCAAGAACUCUUUGAAUACAAUAAUUUCGUGGAUAAAUUCAAAUGUAUGAUGUGAGGAUGAACAAGUAAAACACUGUGAGAAGCCUUACAUACCUGGAAAGAACAAUGUUCUUAGUGAAAUUCACAACUCUUGAAAGAACGCUUGAAACCCUGCCCUUCUCUUCUCUUGAAACCCAGCUCGGAAACUCUAAGUGUUUAGGAACGUGAAAAAGUGGUAUAAAUAUGAUUAGACCCUUAUUUGGGGUGAACAAAACGUGGUUAAGCCUAGUAGGAAAAGGAAAAGACCAAAAUACCCUUCUAAAAAUGAAUGAGAUGCCUUAACUAGAGAGGCUUCACUCAAACGGGCAUAACUUCUUACUCCAAGCUCGAAAUUAUGCAAACUUGGCAGCGUUGGAAAGAGGACUCAAAUACCUUCAAUUAGAUAGGUUACAGGCCACCUAAUUCUUUAUGUGCUAAAAAAUAUGGUCAUUUGAAAUUGACCAAAAACUACAAAUUAAUGGUGACUUGUACGAAUUUCUCUUUAGUUCUUUUUUAAAUCUGAGGCGUUACAAUAUUACCUUCUGUGAACUAAGUCUCAUAUAUAUAGCCCAUCAUGGAAGAAUAAAGAGCUUCUCAAACCUAGUACUGAAUAACCCAUAACUAUAUUAAGACUUACGGGUCAACCCACCACCAAGAUUAAAAGUGCUCAUCCGGAGAGAUUUAUUAUGUUUAGCCCAUAUUGUUGUUUGAGUAUAUAUAGUUAUGGCUAUAAAAGCCCACAAACUUCUUAUUUGUGUUAUUCUUCAACUACUCAAGUGAAGAAGCCUCGCUACGUACACCUACUAUAUCAUCACUCCCCACCUCCAUUCUAUUGCCACAUCGAACCAUUGGUUCUUAAAUUAGUUUGUUGGCUAUAUAGAAUAUCAGCUCAUACCAUUUAAAUAUGUCAUAACAUUUAUUUUAAAUAGAGUAUGAAUAAGAACUCCGUAGUAAAUAUACUAUAUAUUAUUCCUAUUGUGUAAAGGCAGUAUAGUUUAGUUUUGGUCGAGUCAAGGGACUUAAUCUGGUCGGUCUUCUGGUAUUGGGACUAAUGAUAAGGGGAGUGAACGAAACCAAGGGACGACAGUUGUAGAGGAUGAAUAUUAGUUUGUCAUCAUCAAACAGAGGAAAAUUGUUAUUUUAACUUAUGUCUAAAGUUUUGAUAAUUGAACAAACUUUGGACAUGAUCCCUGACGAAGCUGUGAAUUUUGUACAGGAACACUACAGGUGUCCAAAAGCCUGCAAAACUUGUGGUUGGUGUGUGGCUCCCAUGGUAUAGCAGACCCUCAGCUAUUGUUUAGUAGUUACUGGUAGUAGAGUUGCUGCAGUAAGGGGGAAGAGAUUAAAGAGUUUUAAUUCCUAGGUUACAAGAGCUUGUAAUCUGAAUAGUUGCUCCUUAUAUAGUUAAAUGGAGUUGGAUUGAAAUCAUGUGAGUACAUGUCGUGGUUUUCUCCUCCCUUGAGCAAGGAGGUUUCCACGUAAAACGGUUGUGUCUCUUUUACCUUGUGUUAUUUACUUUCUACAUUUCUAUUUUAUCAAGGGACCUGAUCCAUUGACUGUUCGUGGAUGCAUACAUUCUAUCAACUCUCGUUCCCAAUUUAUAUGACUUACUUUCCUUUUUAGUCAGUCUAAAAAAGAAUGACACAUUUCUAUAUUGAGUAACAAUUUAACUUUAAAAUGUCCAUUUUACCUUUAAUGAAAUGAUUUAUAGUCACACAAAUUUCUACCAUUCAUUUUAGACCACAAGUUUUAAGUCUUCCUUUCUUUCUUAAACUCCAUGUUAAGUCAAAUUAAUUCACAUAAAAUGGGAUAAAAGGGAGUACAUGUUUUGCUUAUUGGGUUGAUAAUAUUAAUUCUUUUCAAACAAUAACAACCCCAAAAAGAUAUAUACCAAGAAGUAGAAAGAAUAAGAGAAAAUGAAAGGGGAAAUUAGAAAAUUACUUUCAUAACUAAAUCCCAAAGAGAGGAUGGCAUAUAGCAUAGCAUUUUUUGUUACUAUAAGUGAAGGUGAUAUAAACAUCAUCACUUAUAUGCUCAUCUCCUACAAUUUGGGAGGCUAUAUAGUUGAUUUACAACAUCACUUAGUGCAUCUAUUGUACAAUAUUAGCACAUACCCAAACAUGCUAAAUAUGUUCACUAGUUAACUACAAGCUAGAUAAAAGCAAGCAAGCUAGCUAAUGGAUAAUUAAAAAGCCACAGCAGCAGUUGAUGAUUUUCUCUUAGAUGAGAAAUAUUCAACACCUUGAUACAUCUGGACAGCUUCAUAACUGUUAAUAUUAUAAACUUUUGCUUCACUUGGAUGCAACUUAACAACAUGAGAUUGUUGGGGAUAGUAUUUAUAAGGAGCUUGAUUAUUUGGCCUUUGUGGAGGUGAAGGUCUUUCUUUUCUUUUCCCCCAAAAUUCAUCAAUAAGAUCAAACCCUUCUUGCCCUAUCUUGGCUAGCAACUGCUCUUUCCUAUGUGCCAUUUU